UAUCUAGUUAGUUUAUAUAUAAAAUAUUAAAUUGUGGAUUUAAUGAGGAAUUAUCACUGGAUAA
Molecule: transfer RNA, 64 nt
Filed under: Ornithodoros turicata
Lineage: Eukaryota; Metazoa; Arthropoda; Arachnida; Ixodida; Argasidae
Description: tRNA-His
Source: RNAcentral